CACACUCACGCGUGUGUGUGUGCGCGCGCACUCGCAGAGAGAGAGAGACAGAGAGAGAGAGACAGGGAGAGGGAGAGACAGAGCGAGAACCGCUGCUGUGAUUCUUACCGAAGAGUAAGUCACUUCAAAAGAGCUUGCUGUGCCCCUCUGUAGUCACCCAAAUGGCCGGCAGGAUGUGUUUCUUCCUCGGCAAGCCCCACCUGAGAUGAAAGCGCCUGAUCACUGCCACGCAGAGCAGCCGUUCUUAUCUAGGCCAUCUGGCCAAAUGGAAGCAUCUGUUCCUUCUGCACAUCCUUGCCUCGCUCAUCCCUGGAUACGUCGAGGGAUUUGCUUCUCAGGUUGUACAGGCAGGUGUAUGAAUUUUGCCAUCACUGUGACCGAAUGAAUACCCAACGUAAGUUGCGUAAGGGAGGAAAGGUUUGCCUUGGCUUCUGGUCAGUUCUGUUGUUUCUGGACACGCGGCAAAGCCGGGUGCCACGGAGCAUCAUGGCAGACAGGGAUGAUGGAGCAGGAAGCAGACAGAGACACACUCCACCAAGAAUUUACUUCUUCCAGCUCUGCCCCUUCCCCUAACGUUUUCGCUGCUUCUCAAAAUAGUGCCGCCAGCUGUGGUUCGUGAGCCUGUGGGGAACGCGUCAUAGCUAAGUCCUAACAGACAUGAAGCAUGUUUGUUGUGGAUGAGGAGGUCAGUUGUCAUGGCAGCCAUGCCUUCAGCAUCUCCUGUGACUGACAGCUAGAGGUGGGGUUCUGUAUCUGCGGUUGCCCCCAUCACACUUGCUCAAUCUUUAAUGCCCCAGCUGUAAGGGUUCUUGAUGAAAGCAGGGGACUGGACAUCAACGGGAACGCUUGUGUGGGGCUAAUUAAUUCAUUACACCUGGCUACACAAAGAACUGGUUCGGUAGGUACUCCCAGCUCUGGGCCACAGGUCGCUGACGUGGAGAGGGUGGGAGAACUGGGCCAAGACGUCAAGAAGAGCCCGAAGGGAGGGAAAACAAGCCAUCUAUGUCGGGGAAGCUGGGCACGGAAUGCUCCAAUUAUCUCCCAUUGUGUUUGAGAGAAGAAAAGGAUCCAUCCAUAGCCACCUGGCAGAUGCUUGCUGUCUGUGAUUUAUCCACCUGGACCGAACUCCCUGGCAUCUGCUUCAUCAGGAUGGCGGUUUUAUUCCCAUGUGUGGUGCCUCAGAGCACCCAGUGCAGUGCCCACCGAAGCCUGUGGUUGAUGAGAGAUACAGCCAGGAGACCGAGAUCAAGGCUUACGGAACCAGUUUCACAUGUGGAUGGUUACAGUAUACACAUUCCUUAUCCAAGACAGACAUUGCUAAUCCAUCUGCUAAUCAAUUGUGGCGCUUUCUCCUGCUGAGCCUAGAUACGGCCUUGAAGUUAUCGACAAUGGUUGUGCAUCUGGCAGCCGUGAUCAGUUCAUCACGAGCUGGUUCUCACAAUGAAGUCUCUUUGUCCUUCCUGGUUCUGACUGCUGUUCCUUGGCACCAGGACCACAUGCUUCUACAGUCUGUACCUUUGAAGAGACGUCUCUCCCUGUGCAGCUUCAGGUAGAGGUCCAUUGGUGAGAGGCACUGCCAAGAGGACACUCGGAGGUGGAUGAGGAGACGUGAUAGCCGUGACUAUACCUCAGUGCUUGGGCAGAGCCUGGGCUCUUGGGAAUGCACACUGUGGUGCCUCAGUCUGCGAGGCAGAAGGCUUUGGUAACCCCUGGGAUUGCUGAGUCAUUUGUAAUAUUCACUGAAGGUCCUGUACGGUCUAGAUCCUUCUAGAUCCUUUAGAAGGUGCCGGCUGGAACUCUGGCCCCUCCCCUUCCAUCCACAGCUCUUCCUACCUGGGCACCCAGAACAGCUUUCAUUUUCAAGAUCUCUUCGCUGCUGUUUACCAGUGGAACUUGGAGAGCAGGAGACACCCUCGGCCGCAAGCUGAAAAACAGAGAGGUGACUGAGGCUAGUUUGUGCCGGAGCUGGGUUCAUAAGCCAGGCCUAACGACCUGGACUAGUUCCUUAGAACCCCAGGGUCUCAUGGGGGAGGUCUUUCAACAGUAGGAGAAUACGGAUGCCAUAUCGUCAGUUCUGACCCUGAGCUGGAAACCCUCCACAUCUCCACGUGGAAACACGACAAUUCCGAUGUCAUAUCGUCAGUUCUGACCCUGCGAUGGAAACCCUACCACAUCUCCACGUGGAAACAUGACCCCCGUUCUCAACAUUUGUUUUUAUAUCCAGCCGUUGGGGGGGGGGGGAAACGUUGCAGAAUUAAAGUUACCAGUGUCUGUUUCUUUUUGUAAGUGUCCUCUGGUUUCCACGGUGCUGAGGUGUAUGCUGCAGCCACUCCGAGUCCUGGUGGCAGGCUACUGAUGCAGAGACUCACAGAAAGGAUACAAGGGACAACAGGAUGUGAC
This is a long non-coding RNA of Alexandromys fortis (reed vole), 2400 nucleotides long. RefSeq lists it as uncharacterized. Lineage: Eukaryota; Metazoa; Chordata; Mammalia; Rodentia; Cricetidae. The record is from RefSeq and is a predicted model, not a curated record. The transcript has 4 exons.